AGUGAACGCUGGCGGUAGGCCUAACACAUGCAAGUCGAACGGCAGCACAGUAAGAGCUUGCUCUUACGGGUGGCGAGUGGCGGACGGGUGAGGAAUACAUCGGAAUCUACUUUUUCGUGGGGGAUAACGUAGGGAAACUUACGCUAAUACCGCAUACGACCUACGGGUGAAAGCAGGGGAUCUUCGGACCUUGCGCGAUUGAAUGAGCCGAUGUCGGAUUAGCUAGUUGGCGGGGUAAAGGCCCACCAAGGCGACGAUCCGUAGCUGGUCUGAGAGGAUGAUCAGCCACACUGGAACUGAGACACGGUCCAGACUCCUACGGGGCAGCAGUGGGGAAUAUUGGACAAUGGGCGCAAGCCUGAUCCAGCCAUACCGCGUGGGUGAAGAAGGCCUUCGGGUUGUAAAGCCCUUUUGUUGGGAAAGAAAAGCAGCAGGUUAAUACCCCGCUGUUCUGACGGUACCCAAAGAAUAAGCACCGGCUAACUUCGUG
RNAcentral lists this ribosomal RNA (490 nucleotides) under uncultured bacterium. RNAcentral describes it as "partial 16S ribosomal RNA". It matches the Rfam family "Bacterial small subunit ribosomal RNA", at positions 29 to 507 of the family's 1533-position model. The record is from RNAcentral.